RNAcentral lists this ribosomal RNA (517 nucleotides) under uncultured Pseudozyma. RNAcentral describes it as "eukaryotic LSU rRNA". It matches the Rfam family "Eukaryotic large subunit ribosomal RNA", at positions 107 to 618 of the family's 3401-position model. The record is from RNAcentral. Lineage: Eukaryota; Fungi; Basidiomycota; Ustilaginomycetes; Ustilaginales; Ustilaginaceae.
GCCCAAGAUUGAAAGCUGGCGCCUUCGGCGUCCGCAUUGUAAUCUCAAGAAGUGUUUUCCGCUUCGGACCAUGCCUAAGUCCCUUGGAAAAGGGCAUCAUAGAGGGUGAUAAUCCCGUACAUGGCAUGGAGCGCCCGAAGCUUUGUGAUACGCUUUCUAAGAGUCGAGUUGUUUGGGAAUGCAGCUCAAAAUGGGUGGUAAAUGCCAUCUAAGGCUAAAUAUUGGGGAGAGACCGAUAGCGAACAAGUACAGUGAUGGAAAGAUGAAAAGAACUUUGAAAAGAGAGUUAAACAGUACGUGAAAUUGCCAAAAGGGAAGGGUAGGAGGUCAGAGAUGCGGCCUGGGAUUCAGCCUUGCUUUUGCUCGGUGUUUUUCCCAGAUUGCAGGGCAACGUCCGUUUUGGGCACUGGAGAAGGGGAGGAGGAACGUGGCACCUCUCGGGGGGUGGUAUAGGCUCCUACUUGAUACAGCGACCAAGACCGAGGACAACAGCGUACUCUUCAGAACUGGGCUUCUC